This 300-nucleotide unclassified non-coding RNA is filed under the name Glomeraceae sp. RNAcentral describes it as "partial contains 5.8S ribosomal RNA and internal transcribed spacer 2". The stretch from base 1 to 65 matches the Rfam family "5.8S ribosomal RNA", at positions 84 to 154 of the family's 154-position model. The record is from RNAcentral. Lineage: Eukaryota; Fungi; Glomeromycota; Glomeromycetes; Glomerales; Glomeraceae.
GUGAAUCAUCGAAUUUUUGAACGCAAAUUGCACUCUCUGCGGAGCGUAUGCCUGUUUGAGGGUCAGUAUUAAUAAAAAUCGGUGUGUUGCUUCUUUGUGACGCUCCGGUGUUUGGGUCAUCUUAAUAUUCUUUAGGUUUUAAUUGGCUUAAAGUUGACUUUUUUGCGCAUUUUAGAUGUCCAUAAAUUCUUUUUUUUAUUCGUCUCUUUUUAAUACCAAAAUCUUAUUAGAUUCGAUCACAUCGUGUUGUUUCUUGUCCAUAAAAUUUUCAUUAUUUAACCUCAAAUCAGGUAGGAUUAC